This 283-nucleotide long non-coding RNA is filed under the name Lupinus angustifolius (narrow-leaved blue lupine). RNAcentral's name for it is "long non-coding RNA (LANG_LNC000575)". Lineage: Eukaryota; Viridiplantae; Streptophyta; Magnoliopsida; Fabales; Fabaceae. The record is from RNAcentral.
UCCUCAUGAUGUAAAAACGAGCCCUUUGUUCUUUAACAAGCCUAGUACACUUUCUAGCAAAAGCACACUUCUUCUGAGUAGUAUCAUUCAUGAGAAGUGUAGUUGAAGAAUGGUUCCUUGAUGACCCUUCUUUCUUUGACAACUUCCACUUCUCAUCAAUGUAGAAAGGUGGGGCACUCUCACUGCUGCUACAUGUGGAUGCAGCAUGAGUAACAGAAGCCAUUUUGGAGAACAAGUUAAGAGAAAAAUUGUGAAGUGUUUUGGAAAAGAGAGAAACAAGUUU